RNAcentral lists this ribosomal RNA (238 nucleotides) under uncultured bacterium. Its description in RNAcentral is "partial 16S ribosomal RNA". It matches the Rfam family "Bacterial small subunit ribosomal RNA", at positions 96 to 334 of the family's 1533-position model. The record is from RNAcentral.
CGGCGGACGGGUGAGUAACGCGUGGGUGACCUGCCUCAUACAGGGGGAUAACAGUUAGAAAUGACUGCUAAUACCGCAUAAGACCACGGUACCGCAUGGUGCAGUGGUAAAAACUCCGGUGGUAUGAGAUGGACCCGCGUCUGAUUAGGUAGUUGGUGGGGUAACGGCCUACCAAGCCGACGAUCAGUAGCCGACCUGAGAGGGUGACCGGCCACAUUGGGACUGAGACACGGCCCAG